CAUUACUUUAAAUUGAUAUUCUUUAAUUGGAACGGUGUAGAGAAGAUUAGCAUGGUUCCUAUGCAAGAAGGACAUGCACAAAUCGAGAAAUUGUUCAAAAAAUU
Small nuclear RNA from Cynara cardunculus var. scolymus (artichoke), 104 nucleotides. Lineage: Eukaryota; Viridiplantae; Streptophyta; Magnoliopsida; Asterales; Asteraceae. The record is from RefSeq and is a predicted model, not a curated record.